This 253-nucleotide ribosomal RNA is filed under the name uncultured bacterium. RNAcentral's name for it is "partial 16S ribosomal RNA". It matches the Rfam family "Bacterial small subunit ribosomal RNA", at positions 524 to 776 of the family's 1533-position model. The record is from RNAcentral.
UACGGAGGGUGCGAGCGUUGUCCGGAAUCACUGGGCGUAAAGGGCGCGUAGGCGGUACUUCAAGUCAGGCGUGAAAGCCCCGGGCUCAACCUGGGAACCGCGCUUGAGACUGGAGAACUAGAGUUCGGGAGAGGAUGGUGGAAUUCCCAGUGUAGAGGUGAAAUUCGUAGAUAUUGGGAAGAACACCGAUGGCGAAGGCAGCCAUCUGGACCGACACUGACGCUGAGGCGCGAAAGCGUGGGGAGCAAACAGG